CAUCGGUGACAGGUGGUGGCAUGGUUGUCGUCAGCUCGUGUCGUGAGAUGUUGGGUUAAGUCCCGCAACGAGCGCAACCCCUAUUGUUAGUUGCCAUCAUUCAGUUGGGCACUCUAGCGAGACUGCCGGUAAUAAACCGGAGGAAGGUGGGGAUGACGUCAAAUCAUCAUGCCCCUUAUGACCUGGGCUACACACGUGCUACAAUGGUUGGUACAACGAGUUGCGAGUCGGUGACGGCGAGCUAAUCUCUUAAAGCCAAUCUCAGUUCGGAUUGUAGGCUGCAACUCGCCUACAUGAAGUCGGAAUCGCUAGUAAUCGCGGAUCAGCACGCCGCGGUGAAUACGUUCCCGGGCCUU
Molecule: ribosomal RNA, 356 nt
Filed under: uncultured Streptococcus sp.
Lineage: Bacteria; Bacillati; Bacillota; Bacilli; Lactobacillales; Streptococcaceae
Description: bacterial SSU rRNA
Rfam family: Bacterial small subunit ribosomal RNA
Source: RNAcentral